Molecule: ribosomal RNA, 336 nt
Filed under: uncultured bacterium
Lineage: Bacteria
Description: partial 16S ribosomal RNA
Rfam family: Bacterial small subunit ribosomal RNA
Source: RNAcentral
CCUACGGGAGGCAGCAGUAGGGAAUAUUGCUCAAUGGGGGAAACCCUGAAGCAGCAACGCCGCGUGGAGGAUGAAGGUUUUCGGAGUGUAAACUCCUUUUGAUAGAGAAGAGAAUGACGGUAUGUAAGGAAUAAGCACCGGCUAACGCCGUGCCAGCAGCCGCGGUAAUACGGAGGGUGAAAGCGUUACUCGGAAUCACUGGGCGUAAAGAGCGCGUGGGCGGGAUAGCAAGUCAGCUGUGAAAUCCUGUGGCUUAACCCUAGAACUGCAGUUGAAACUGUUAUUCUAGCGUAUGGGAGAGGUCGGUGGAAUUCUUGGUGUAGCGGUCAAAUCCGU